AGGACGAACGCUAGCGGCGUGCCUAAGGUAUGCAAGUCGAGCGGACCAGGCUUCGGUCUGGUUAGCGGCAAACGGUUGAGUAACACGUAGACAACCUGACCGGAAGUCGGGGAUAACUCGGGGAAACUCGGGCUAAUACCGGAUGUGGAGGGAAGUCGCAUGACUUCUUAUCUAAAGGAGCAAAUUCGCUUCCGGAUGGGUCUGCG
This 206-nucleotide ribosomal RNA is filed under the name uncultured soil bacterium. Its description in RNAcentral is "partial 16S ribosomal RNA". It matches the Rfam family "Bacterial small subunit ribosomal RNA", at positions 26 to 235 of the family's 1533-position model. The record is from RNAcentral.